Pan troglodytes (chimpanzee) is the source of this 3918-nucleotide long non-coding RNA. RefSeq lists it as uncharacterized. The transcript is spliced from 5 exons. The record is from RefSeq and is a predicted model, not a curated record. NCBI's taxonomy places the organism in Eukaryota, Metazoa, Chordata, Mammalia, Primates, Hominidae.
CAGUCUGCCCGUUCUCAGGUCUGCCCGUUCUCAGAUCUCCAGCUGCGUGCUGGGAGAACCACUGCUCUCUUCAAAGCUGUCAGACAGGGACAUUUAAGUCUGCAGAGGUUACUGCUGUCUUUUUGUUUGUCUGUGCCCUGCCCCCAGAGGUGGAGCCUACAGAGGCAGGCAGGCCUCCUUGAGCUGUGGUGGGCUCCACCCAGUUGGAGCUUCCGGGCUGCUUUGUUUACCUAAUCAAGCCUGGGCAAUGCGGGCGCCCCUCCCCCAGCCUCACUGCCGCCUUGCAGUUUGAUCUCAGACUGCUGUGCUAGCAAUCAGCGAGACUCCGUGGCGUAGGACCCUCCGAGCCAGGUGCGGCGUAUAAUCUCGUGGUGCGCUGUUUUUUAAGCCUGUCGGAAAAGCUCAGUAUUCGGGUGGGAGUGACCCGAUUUUCCAGACGGAGUUUCACUCUUGUUGCCCAGGCUGGGGUACAAUGGCACGAUCUUGGCUCACUGCAACCUCCGCCUCCCAGGUUCAAGCGGUUCUCCUGCUUCAGCAUCCGGAGUAGCUGUGAUUACAAACAUGUGCCACUACACCCGGAUCUCAUGGUCUUUUCUUAACAUUUCUUGGUGACGAGGAUGGGAUUUGAAGUGGCACCCUUGCUUUUCCCCAACACUAUCUGGACCAAUGCAUUUGCACCUGCAAGAACCCCUUGAGCUCACUUAUCUUCCUGGCUGCACCAGGGAGAAAUGAGAACCUGAAGACCGAAUCCUCUGAGAACAACAGAGAUACUUUCUUGCCAUGUACACUCCAGCAAAAUCUUCGGGACCUUGAACUUUGGGUUCAUAAUCUCACAACUGAGAAGGAUUACUCCACACUCAUAGAACUGCACACCCAUUGGACCCCUUAAGGUGAAGCUAACCAGGGAAUUUUCUCCCCAGAAGAAGAAGAUAUUCUUGAUAUGAACAGCUUUUCCAAAAAUCAUGGAUCAAGAUUUCUACUAUUAUAAGACUCUUAUCUUUGAAUAUUUUUCCCUUGCUUAUACCUCUAUGAACAACAGAAGUGAAAAGAGGGUCUAUUUUGUGCACAUAUGGGUAUACAUUUAUUUGUGAAUAAUUUUGCAGCCAGCCUUAUACAUAGAUAAACUUAUGUCUUGAUAGAUGAAAGAUGAAGAUGCAAUGUAGGUGAGAAACCUUAAUGAUAUAUACAGUGUCACAUAGUUAGAAACAGAACAUUGGUUCACUCCUCCUAACCCACAUCAUGAGUUAAAGAGAACAUUGCCAGGAGGCCUUCACUCUUCUAGAAAGGCAUCAUUUGUUAGGUCCUUUUCUUUCAUGGUUUGGAGCAAAAAAAAAAAAAAGCAAUGAUUAGAAAUGUAUCCCUCAUAAUAGGCUCUAUUGCAGACUCUACUGUAAAGGCUGUGGUUACACGACAGACUUUAAAUUCUCCUUUGAAAUAAAAUUGCUCUAGAUUAUAAACUGGCUAAACAGAGAAGUAUCUGAGGAACUGCCGGCACUUGUGGCCUAUGGAGAAAUAUAUCAAAUGUAGAUUAUAGAUAUUCAGUUACAGAAGAUUAACAAAAAGACUGCUGAGUUAAUUGAGUGGCCUCUUAUCUAGUUCACUCUUUACUUAAUUUUAGGUGGUUUGGUUUAUGGGGACCCUGGGUAAGAAGCAUAUACCAAACUCUUGGUAUUAUUCUCCUAAUAGUCAUAAUAGAUUUCCUGGUACACUGUAUUCUCUGAAAAGUUUUAAAUGUUUGCAUGUAGCCAUCUCUAGAAUGUCAAAUGGUAUCUCUUCAACUGGAAUGACAAGAGCUGACAGACAUGUGUGACCAUGAGGACACCAUAACCUAUGAAUGACAUGCUGAGACUGGAAACCCAAAAUGGUGGGUCACCCAGACUGGAGUGCAGUGGUGCAAUCUCAGAUCACCCCAAACUCUACCUCCCAGGCUCAAUCAAUUCUGCCUCAGCCUCCCAAGUAGCUGGGAUGACAGGUGUGUGCCACUACUGCCUGGCUAAUUUUUGUAUUUUUAGUAGAGACGGAGUUUCACCAUGUUGUCCAGGCUGGUCUUGAACUCCUGACCUUAAAUGAUCCACCCACCUCAGCCUCCCAAACUGGGAUUAUAGGAGUGAGCCACUACUCCCAGCCCUGUUUUGACUUUUAUCACCCAAGAUUGGUUUUGUAAGUUCUUGAGUUUCUUAAAAAUGGACUCACAAAGCAUGUGUUUGUGUCUGACUUCUUUCACUUAGCAUAUUUUUUGCUUUGUUUCUAUUAUUCCAUUAUAAGAAUAAGACACUCAUCUCUUUAUGAACGCUUAGUUUUGAUCUUUCAGUGAUUAUAAAUAAAGCUUCUAUGAAUAUUGUUACAGAAGUCUUUAUCUGUAUGUAUAUUUUCAUUUUACUUGGAAUAAAUACCCAAGGAUGAAACUGGUAGGCCAUAUGCCACACACGUAUAUAUGCAAAAAAGCAUUCCAAAUAUGUUUUGUCACUUUACAAUUUUACGAGACUUAUUAAUAGAUGCCAACAUCCCCACCAAUAUUUGAAAUCACCAAAUUUUGAAAUCUUAGUCACUCCAGUAGAUGCAAUGUAAUAGCCCACUCUGUUUUUUUUAUUUACAUUUCAUUGAUGAUUAAUACCAUUUAGCACCUUAACUUUUUGCUGUGGAAAUUUUUAACUCAUUUUGUCUUUUAUUUUACACAUUGUAUUGAGUUUGUCUCUUUUUAAAUUUGUUUUUAAUUGUCAAAUAAAAAUUGUAUAUAUUGUUUUACUUCGAACUCUGCAGCUAGUUCACACUGAGCCACCAGAAACGUGUCAAUUAGAGCUGUAAGCGAUUCUACAGAUAUUGACUUCAUCUCUGAGGGUUUGUUCUUAGAAAGCUAUGAUUAUAUGUAUCCACCUAUCUGUUUCUGUAGGUUUUGGCCAACAGUUUGCCCUGUAACCUCAAUUCUCUGAUGCAUCUAAGAAAGAUUAUUGAUUUUCAGUAUGUUCUUAUUCUUCUUGUGAGGAUACAAAAAAAUGACUUCAAAGAUCUUUACCUAUUGGACUGGAAACUGAGAGUCUAUAAAUGAUAUUUAAAAAUUUUAUUUUCCAAAUGGUUUUUGCUAGUAUUCAAAAUAGUAUUUACUUAUUUAUAUUGACUUUUUAUUCUGCAUCCAUACUCUAAGCACUUACAUUUUUCUAGUACUGCUUUGGUACAUUCUUUAGUAUUUUCUAUAUACAAAAUAUAAACAAGGACCAAUUUACCAUUUCUUUUCCAAUAUUUAUAUAAUAUUCCCCCCAUUGCUUUGCCUUAUUGUAUUAGCUUAGAUCUCCUGUACAAUGGUAAAAAGAGUGAAAAGAACAAAUAUCUUUGCCUUAUUUCUGAUCCUAAACUGGGACUAUUCAAUAUUUCACUUAGUAUGAUGCUAGUUGUAGAUUUUUCCUAUAUGUCUUUCAUUAGAUAGAGGAAGUUUCCUUCCGUUCCUAACUUUCUAAGAAUUUGUUGUUGGUGUCACACUUUGAGUUUAAAUUAUGAUGGGUACUGAACUUUGUGAAAUUAUUUUUCUCCUUAUAUUGAGAUGAUCAUGCAACGUUAUCCUUUAUCCAGUUAAUGGAGUAGAUUGCAACGAUAGGUUAUAUGUGUGUUGCUUAAUUUAAAAAAAUGUGUAAGCAUUUACUAGAUUGUUACUGCUUUCCUAUCUAAUUCCAUUGUGAUGAAAGAAUAUGUUCUGGAUGAUUGAAUGCUUAAAAUUUACUUUUAAGUGUGUUUCAUAGUCCAGAAUGUGGUCAACCUUGAUGAAUGCUCCAUAUUCACUCAAUGUGUAUUGUGCUGUUCUUGGUUAUUUGAAGUUCUAUAAAUGCAAAAUAAGUCUAAUUGUACAACAACCUUUUUCCAUUAUUCUAUCUUUUUCAGUGUUUUGUCAACUGUUUUGCUAAUGACUGAGAGAUAAGUGCUAAAAUC